Molecule: transfer RNA, 86 nt
Filed under: Candidatus Levybacteria bacterium RIFCSPHIGHO2_01_FULL_36_15
Lineage: Bacteria; Candidatus Levyibacteriota
Description: tRNA-Ser
Rfam family: tRNA
About the family: Transfer RNA (tRNA) molecules are approximately 80 nucleotides in length. Their secondary structure includes four short double-helical elements and three loops (D, anti-codon, and T loops).
Source: RNAcentral
GGAGGGUUGGCCGAGCGGUUCAUGGCGCAAGUCUCGAAAACUUGUCUCCAUUUUUGGAGGCGCAGGUUCGAAUCCUGCACCCUCCG